CAGCACCUCAAGUGGUCAGGAUGAUUAUUGGGCCUAAAGCAUCCGUAGCCGGCGCUGUAAGUUUUCGGUUAAAUCUGUACGCUCAACGUACAGGCUGCCGGGAAUACUGCAGCGCUAGGGAGUGGGAGAGGUAGACGGUACUCGGUAGGAAGGGGUAAAUUCCUUUGAUCUAUUGAUGACCACCUGUGGCGAAGGCGGUCUACCAGAACACGUCCGACGGUGAGGGAUGAAAGCUGGGGGAGCAAACCGGAUUAGAGACCCGAGUAGUCC
This 270-nucleotide ribosomal RNA is filed under the name uncultured archaeon. RNAcentral's name for it is "partial 16S ribosomal RNA". It matches the Rfam family "Archaeal small subunit ribosomal RNA", at positions 477 to 747 of the family's 1478-position model. The record is from RNAcentral.